GUGUUCGCUUCGGCAGCGCAUAUACUAAACUUGGAAUGAUACAGAGAAGAUUAGCAUGGCCCCUGCACAAGGAUGACAUGCAAAUUCAUGAAGCAUUCCAUAUUUUU
Small nuclear RNA from Chinchilla lanigera (long-tailed chinchilla), 107 nucleotides. Lineage: Eukaryota; Metazoa; Chordata; Mammalia; Rodentia; Chinchillidae. The record is from Ensembl.